AGAACCCUCUCCUGUGGCUCUCCAUUCCAUAAAAACUCAGUUUCCUGAAGUCUUCUCUCUUGCAGGAGAAAGUGGAGAUGAUCCAUAGUCUGCAACUCCACCAUAUAUUCCUUUGCUGGAAUAAGAAAUGUUUUUAAAUCAACAACAUAAGAAGCCAAUGGAGCAUCUGUGUGACAACAUUAAAGUCUCUUUUCAGCUGUGAGAAUUCCAUGCUUUCUAAAAGCCUUGCCUUGCCUUCCCAUAGGAAGAUGGCCAAAACCUCCCAGAUAGGAGUUUGUGGCAGAAAUCUGGCAAUGAGCCAUUCCUGUGGUGCUGGAUGGGGAUGAGGAAAGUUGCCAGCAAAAUUUUUGGUGCACGUGCAAUAAAAAUCCUCUCCCAACAAAUUCAGAUUUCUAACAGAAGUGAACACUGACAUUAUUGGACUCUUUUGUGCAAAUGAGCAAGUAGCACAAAUUUCAAGGAGCAGAUAAAAUGAACCACGUUAUAGGUCAACACAGAAGGAUAUUAUCCAAGGAGCUUUUGCUAUUCUUCCUGUGUUGUCUGCCCUGCUAAUUCAUUCCUGCAGAGCUAGCAGUCAAGCUCCAUUUGAAAACAGGAUAUUGGAUAAGAAAGUCUGUGUUUAUUACAGAGUUCUUCUAGUGUCUACUUCAUACUUCAAUGAAACAUUGA
This is a long non-coding RNA of Catharus ustulatus (Swainson's thrush), 669 nucleotides long. RefSeq lists it as uncharacterized. NCBI's taxonomy places the organism in Eukaryota, Metazoa, Chordata, Aves, Passeriformes, Turdidae. The record is from RefSeq and is a predicted model, not a curated record. The transcript has 3 exons.